AUUUCAGGGCUGUACACACAGUGAGUGUCCUGUUCUCUCUCUCUUUGUUUGGAUGUAUUGCUCUGUGUAACUCAGUGGGUCUCCCUCUUUCUGGUUUGUUUUUUUUUCUAGAUUCCUGCCGUUUGUUCAUCGUUGUGCCUAAAGCAUGUCGAUGUGGCGUCAAGUACAUCGUCCAAAUCCCUGUCUCUUCAGCUUCUCUGAUGCUUGAACUCUCACCUUUGACCUUGUGUUGACCUUUGAUGCUGACGUGUAUUUUUAUUAUGUUUGUUUCUUUCUUCGUUUUUUUUUUCUUUUUCUUUUUUUCUUUCCUUUUUUUUUUUUUCCCUUUUGUGCUGCCAAAUUGGUUUUGCUAGAACGACUGCUGAAGGGGAAAUAUUUAAACUUGCAUUUGAAUAUAAAAAAAAUCUAUUUUUCUAGAACUUCAUAAGAUAACCACUUGAUUUUGUGAUUCCAAUUCUUUGUAAUUGUCUUCAGAGCAGCCCUACUAGCACAUACCGCGUGGUGUUUGUAUUUCUGUGAACACACAGCCAGUCCGUUUCUAGGCUUUGUUUCUCUGUGUGCUUAGUUUUAAAGACAACUUUGAAGUAAACAAUGAAAUAAAAGAUGUCACUAAAACCUUUGAGGCUCCUGAGCACAUUUUGCUGAUACAGUCUUCUGACUGCACAGAGCCGCCUCUGUUGGCAGGAGGCACUGAGGCUCCCCUUCCUGUGUAUUGAGAAGCCGUGUUUGCCAAUAUAUUUUGCUUUCAAUUCCAAGAGGAGCUCUGGGAAAACCUGUGGAUAAAACCAAAUGCCAAAUGUUGGACGUUGUUUCCUUUUCCUUUUCUCUCUCUGAUUGUUUUAAUUGUUCUGUGGUGGUUUUAAUGGAUUUGAGACCCUGGAGCGGCAGCUGCCUUUCUGAUUUCCAGCUGCUUUUUGUGAAUAAUUUAAAAAGAAAAAAAAAAAAAAGAAACUUUACAUUUUGGAGACAAACCUGUGUGAGUUUUUUAUUGGUACAAACGUUGUAUUUAACACUAGGGGUUUUGUACAGUUUUUUGCCUUUUCUACUAGAAAACAAUGUAAAGUGAUUUCACAAUGUGAAGAGAAAAAAAAAUUGCCACUAUGACCAAACGCACAGUCUGUUCUGCAGCAACAACGGGAUUCAAUCAACUCAGUCGUGAUUCAGCCGUAGAAAUGCUUUUCCUUUAUCUUGUUUGAGCUUUUCUUUUCUUUCCUGUUUUGAUUUGCAAAAGAAAAUGUCUUUUUUGUGUGAACUUGUGUUGUACUCUGUAGAAAAUUAUGGAUUUUACUUUAAUGGUUUAAAAAAAGGCAAGAAGAGCUCUCGUCGCUUUUCUUACCUAAUCACAGAGUUUGUGUAGUGAAUUUAAAAAGAAAAAAAAAUUGUUACAAGUUUGGGUCAAGGGAGUAUGUGUUUCAAAGGAAUCUCCUUCCUUUUUUUUGUGUGUUUUUCCUUUUGUCCCAAUGGGGAACCUAAAUCUGUUUUAAUUGCACAGACACACGGACAAAAAGUCAUUUUGUAUCUGCCAAGUGUGGUACCUUCCUUUGUUUAUUUGCUAUUAAACUGUUUGAGA
Molecule: long non-coding RNA, 1570 nt
Filed under: Macaca fascicularis (crab-eating macaque)
Lineage: Eukaryota; Metazoa; Chordata; Mammalia; Primates; Cercopithecidae
Description: lncRNA (ENSMFAG00000058798.1)
Source: RNAcentral